UUUUAAAUAUUAUUGAUAAAAAUUGAAUUUAUAUCUUAUACCCGCCUAUAUAGGCAGACAUUUUAUAAUAAUCUU
Molecule: small RNA, 75 nt
Filed under: Arabidopsis thaliana (thale cress)
Lineage: Eukaryota; Viridiplantae; Streptophyta; Magnoliopsida; Brassicales; Brassicaceae
Description: ATSL189820
Source: RNAcentral